AGCGAACGCUGGCGGCAGGCCUAAAACAUGCAAGUCGAACGCCUGUAGCAAUACAGGAGUGGCAGACGGGUGAGUAACACGUGGGAACGUACCCUUGGUUCGGAACAACACAGGGAAACUUGUGCUAAUACCGGAUAAGCCCUUACGGGGAAAGAUUUAUCGCCAGAGGAUCGGCCCGCGUCUGAUUAGCUUGUUGGUGAGGUAACGGCUCACCAAGGCUACGAUCAGUAGCGGUCUGAGAGGAUGAUCAGCCACACUGGGACUGAGACACGGCCCAGACUCCUACGGGAGGCAGCAGUUAGGAAUCUUGGACAAUGGGCGCAAGCCUGAUCCAGCCAUGCCGCGUGAGUGAUGAAGGCC
RNAcentral lists this ribosomal RNA (360 nucleotides) under uncultured bacterium. RNAcentral's name for it is "bacterial SSU rRNA". It matches the Rfam family "Bacterial small subunit ribosomal RNA", at positions 29 to 416 of the family's 1533-position model. The record is from RNAcentral.